GUCAGGGGCAGUAGCAUGCACCUAUAGUCCCAGCUACUUGGGAGGCUGGGGCAGGAGGAUCGCUUGAGGCCAGGAGUCUGGGGCUGCAGUGUGCCAUGAUUGUACCUGUGAAUAGCCACUGCACUCUAGCCUGGGCAACAGAGUGAGACCCUGUCUCUA
Molecule: unclassified non-coding RNA, 159 nt
Organism: Pongo abelii (Sumatran orangutan)
Lineage: Eukaryota; Metazoa; Chordata; Mammalia; Primates; Hominidae
Rfam family: Metazoan signal recognition particle RNA
About the family: The signal recognition particle (SRP) is a universally conserved ribonucleoprotein.
Source: Ensembl